Molecule: unclassified non-coding RNA, 1229 nt
Filed under: Hevea brasiliensis (rubber tree)
Lineage: Eukaryota; Viridiplantae; Streptophyta; Magnoliopsida; Malpighiales; Euphorbiaceae
Source: RNAcentral
UCUUCAAGGUGUUGCCUUGCUUUUAUAUUUUCAAAAAGUUCUUGUUAUCGCAUCAAACUGCGAUUUUAGUUGAAAUAGACAAAAGUUCUUGUUAUCGCAUCAAACUGCGAUUUUAGUUGAAAUAGACAUUCUUCCUAGCAUUCUUCUAGCUAUCUUUCCAUAACUCAUAAAAUAUAAUGAAUAUCUCGAUAUUCUCGUUCCUUGUCUAAUAAAAUUUGUUUAAUUUCUUGAUAUUCAUCACGCAAGUAAUAACAUAACUUAUGAUCAUGACCACUUUUAUCUAUACAAUCACAUAUAUAAACUAAUUGAUUCUUAUGAUAACUGAUUUCAUAAUGCAGUCUUUCAAUAUCAGCUUGGAAAUAACUGAUAUCAUCUUGUACUCUUUCAAUAUCAUUCCACAACAUGAAGUCUCACUAAAAACAAGUCAAAAGUCCUUACCAAUCUUAAAUAAUGGGUUUUACUCAAAAAGGACUUAAAAUCGAAAUCAGCACAUCAAAAUUAGCAAAGAAGAGUCAUGUCAAUUUUUUGCUAAAAUGACACCAAGCUGUCACCGAGGUGGCAAAAGCUAUUGCUACAUCAACAAUGACAUGGCAGCUGACAAGGCGAGGCAGGAUCUGGUGCAAGCAAGCGCAAGAAAAACCAGUAAGCUCAGCUAGGUUUUAGGUGUAUCUGACUCGAACUGGUUGGGUCUCACCACAAAGGCACCAAACUAGAGUUCUGACGAUUAGGGGGAGCGCAGGCAUGCAACAAAGCUGCCGGAAGUAUGGCAACGCCUGGUAAAAGGUUGAAUUUGGAUUCAGGUUAAAUCAGACCCAUCGGUUUUUUGCGUUCAGUGCUGCUUUUAGCUGUUCUCACUUCUAAUUGUGGGGAUGAGAUUUGCUAAAGCCAGUAAUGUUCUAGGAAGUUCCAAAAGUAAAAUUAUGUUGGAAUUCAAGCAGGUCCCAGUUUGGGUCAACACUUGGCCCUAAUGGAUCUUCAUCAUCUGGAAGCUACUAGCAACCAGGCAGGUACUAUUGGAACGCCCGAUUUUGGGCUGUCGACAUGUGGUGUUGUGUCAUUUCGAUUUCCAGUGGUGGUUGCAGAGAAACAGUGGUUGGCUCUAUAUUGCUAUGCUUCUUUUUGCAAUAGCUAGAGUUUUUUUCAAACAGUAAACUCAGCAAAUUUCGAAGCAAAUUUUCAUAGGAAGGAGAGGGAGUCAUAGGCAGAUCAAAGAGGCUUUGAUACCAAAU